RNAcentral lists this long non-coding RNA (730 nucleotides) under Mustela putorius furo (domestic ferret). RNAcentral's name for it is "lncRNA (ENSMPUG00000028266.1)". Lineage: Eukaryota; Metazoa; Chordata; Mammalia; Carnivora; Mustelidae. The record is from RNAcentral.
CAUGGACUGCCACGAACCUGUCAGUUCCUGUGUGAUGUAAGGCAGAGUCAUUUGAAGCAUGUGGGGGUUGGGAACCCUGGAUUAAACUGAAGUUGGAGGUAAAAGACCAAAAAAACCCAAAACAAAACCACCCUCCCCCUCCAAAUCAAAAAACCUACCAAAGUCAGAUGGAGGGUGGCCUUGGAUAUCUCUCUCCCACCCAAGACUUUGUUCCUGGGAGAGAGGAGCCCCAUGGACUAUAGCUCCACCCCCGCCCCCCUUCAUUUCCAGGUUACUGGUUGAAGAUCAAGAUAAGUACAGAGACUGUCAUCCAAAUGGGCCAAAGGUUAUUGUGGAUGGGAAGAGCAUUGGGUAUUUCCAGGCCCGACUCCUUGGUUUCAUAGAAGAGGUAAGAGAAGGACAAUCAUACUUCGUUUCAACAAUACAUAUGGAGGACUUAAUCUGGUCCCAGCACUCUGAGGACACAGUGACAAUGAGGACAAGCCAGCCCGAGGCGGCUGUUCCUUUGAUGAGCACUACAGCAACUGUGGUUAUAGCGUGGCCCUGGGGACCAAUGGAUUUACGUGGGAGCAGAUUAACACGUGGGAGAAACCAAUGCUGGACCCAGCGGUGCCCACAGGUGUGACCCUGACGGAUACGUCUGUAUUAUCUAAAUGGAUCUUCAUAAAAACUGGAGGAGAUGCAGACUGUUAUUACCAGUGUCCUUAUUAAAUGAGGAAACAAACUGAGG